This is a long non-coding RNA of Pseudophryne corroboree (corroboree frog), 1140 nucleotides long. RefSeq lists it as uncharacterized. The record is from RefSeq and is a predicted model, not a curated record. NCBI's taxonomy places the organism in Eukaryota, Metazoa, Chordata, Amphibia, Anura, Myobatrachidae. The transcript has 2 exons.
AGUGGUACUUGGCAGUACUGCAGAGAAUAACGGAUGGAACCGGUGUGAACAAAAGGUGUACUGAACUCACCGAUGAAAUUUAGAGUCCUAUAGUGAGCAUCGAUGGGAACUGUGGUUCAAUGUUGUGUGGUCAGAUAUGCAGAGCGAUAUAAGGAUACCGCUGGAGAUGGAGAGUGGAACUGGAGAGGAUGUGAAGCACCGCUGUAGACUGAUAGUGACACAGAGCACUGCUGAAAGCGAUGUGGAUGAAACGCUGGAAGCUGGAAGCCAGUGACGAAUUCGCUAUGGAGGAUAGAGAGCGAUGCUGCAGACAAUGGAAGCAGGAACGAUACCAGGACACCGCUGGAAGCGGAGCAGGACCAACGCUGGAAGCUGGAAGGCAAUGUCAGGAUUGUAGCAGAUAACCGGGAAGCAGAGCUGGAACACUGCAGAAGUCAGGCUGCACCGCAGGAUGGUAACUGGUGCGGGUCUCUUAGUGGAGCUAGAUCACAGGAGCUGGAAUACCUGGAAGAAAAAGCUGUAGAUGCCACAAACAGGAGAGACAUGUGUACAAGGAUUGACAACCAAAGCACUGACGAUUAGGCAGCCUUGAUGCAGGAUAUUUAUACCAGCUGGGAAGCAGGUAUUGGCUGGGUAAUCAGGCAGAGUCCAGAGUGCAGCUGCUGGGUAAUCAGGCAGAGUCCAGAGUGCAGCUGAUAGGCUGUAAAGCAACAUGUGAUGAAUCCAAAAUGGCUGCGCUCAUGUUUGACUCUGGAGGGAAAGUCUGUUUGAACUUUAGCAUAUGAGAGACUGAGGCCAUCUUACACAGCGUGCUGCACGCAGACAGCGCAGGUGGAAUCCAGGCUUGGGGCGCUGGGCCAGUCUCAGGAGACACUUGGAAGCUGAGAGAAGAGCGUCGCAGAGGCAUUGGGGAUGAAGUUACUCCUGUCAUGGACAUUCCGCAGUACUGCUGGUUGGGGCUGAAAAUGACAUUUUAGGUGGUGUGGUCUUUUGGCAGCUGUCAUUACUCCACUCACUUGGAUGCAACGCUGAGUAAUGAGACACUUACCAAGCAAUUACAGAUUCCUGCUCAUUUAUAUACCUAACAUCUGACUUUCUUGUGCUUAUAAUGCAUUAAAAAAAAAGACAUUUAUACAAUUA